Molecule: long non-coding RNA, 625 nt
Organism: Lathyrus oleraceus (garden pea)
Lineage: Eukaryota; Viridiplantae; Streptophyta; Magnoliopsida; Fabales; Fabaceae
Exons: 2
Source: RefSeq, a predicted model, not a curated record
GGGCAAAAAAGCCCAAUUUCCUCAACACCACCGUGAUUCCCUAAUCUCAGCAAUGCCCAGAGACACCUCACGCUCAUAACAAGAAACAAAACAAAAAACGUGUUCAUGUCAAGAAAUGGAAAGCUCUCACUGUCGGCGUCGGAAUCCCCAUCGCGAGUAACUUGAAUCCCUCCGUGUAAGAAUCGCGCGCUGCUUCUUGUCGUUGAUUCAUUCUUCCAUUUCGUCGCGGUUUUACAAUGGUGUUUUAUUGAUGUCGAAUCAAGAUGAAGAUAGUUGAAUUGUUGUUCGUGCAUUGCGUUUGUGAUGUAGAAUGAAGAUGAAGACGUUGAUCAAAUCGUUAUGAUUUGGUUCAGAAGUUAUGGUUCUUUGUUAUGGAAUUGCAUUGGAAUUAGCUUGUUGAAAGUUGCUUGAAUUCAUUGGUUGGAAUCAUUUGGAUGCUUGUUGGACUAUGGCUUACUUGGAUGUUUGGGAUCUAUUAUUGUAAAUAUUGUAACAUGAUUUGUUGUAUGUAGGAUUUAGUUGCUCUUGUAAACGGAUUUGAAAAUGAGUUAUGUAAUGGUUGAAUGGUUUAUGUAUGAAUGAAUGCAUUUUGGAAAUUGAAUAAAUAGAAAUGUUGAAUUGAAAA